This is a long non-coding RNA of Falco peregrinus (peregrine falcon), 1712 nucleotides long. RefSeq lists it as uncharacterized. NCBI's taxonomy places the organism in Eukaryota, Metazoa, Chordata, Aves, Falconiformes, Falconidae. The transcript is spliced from 5 exons. The record is from RefSeq and is a predicted model, not a curated record.
CGCUCCGCCGCGCACGGAGGGGCGAGCGGCCGCGGCGGCGGCCGGGGAGAGCAGCGCCGGCGUCGGAGAGCCCCGGUGCCCCGGAUUUCUUCACAUUCAGUUUCCCUGUGACAACAGAUGUUCCUGCUCUAGUCGUGGAUAUCUUGGUCUGAGAAGCUUGAGCCUCCUGACAUACAGACAGGCCUAAUGUACCUUUUAUCUUGGUGGAAAACUAAGGGUGGAAAUAAACUUCUGGAUUCUCUUUACCCUCUUGCUUGGACCGCAGAUUUCACUGACAAAGUCUUGCAGGAAAGAAAAACACCUAAAGACUCAGAAGAAAAUCUCAGCUGAAGAGUGGAUUAUACGUGCAAUGAAAAUAUCAGAAAUGCCGAUGCUAGACAGGAAAUUGCAUGCAUUUUCAGGUUCUCCAGAUUGGAGGUUGGAUGUUUUCCCUCACUGCUUCCAUCCAAGUUCUUGUCCCUUCACCUCAUGUUCCUCAACUGCUUCCAGUUAACAGUGCAUUUUCUGAUCAAAGGCUUUAAGAACUAAAAAAAACAGGACAAAAGCAAGAGAUACAAAAUUGUAUUUUCCCUGUAUGAAUAAAGAACAAACACAUCUGCUAAGCAGUCAAGAAAAAUGCUUACAACAAUAGCUAGGACAGAAAUCCUGCAGCAAUGUCAGCUCAACAUCCAGUAGAUUCAAGAGGGUGCAAGGGGAAAAAAAAAAAAAAAAAAAAAAAAAAGUCCUUUCUGAAGGACUGAGCACCAAAUAAUCCUGUCCCCAGCUAAACCAUAUAGAGCUUCUCGUUUCUUUAACUUAGUAGUAGAGGCUGCAGCCUUCAUAUUUGAUGUGAACUACUUCCAAGUCUUCUGUUCCUUUGAACAUAUUCCCAUCUCUUCCAAUGGAUGCGAGCAGGGAACAAAUAUGAGGAGGUAAGCCUCUAGUAACUCCCCUUCUAGCAUAACAGUCCAUUUACUAUUCUCACUUGCCAGCAGCAGGAACUAACUAAAUACAGGCCUCAAGUUCUUUUCCUUCUUAAAAUGCAAGCAUUUUCAUGAAGUAACACCAAUCUGGUUUUGGUUUAGAACUGACAGUGAAACGACUCAUUCUGGUAAACAAAAUGGAUCAUCUUUUUCAAGUAACGCUUCCAGGAUUAUUAUAAAUCGAGUUGAAAAGGUUAGUAACUUAAUUGGGAAAACUUCUGCUCUUGUAAAUAUAAUAGCACAGUUCACUGCUGCCUAUUCAGUUUCCUCAACUCUUCACUUGAACUUCAGGCUCUAUUUUCACGUAGCAAGUCACAAGACCUGUUUUAACGUUUUUCCUCAAAAUGCUUAACAAGCAUUCAUUCACACUACACCAAAUUAAAACAGAAGCUGCACAGUGUCUCUCAACACACACAAAGUUUAUUGUGUAUUAGGUAACUUUAAGGAACAACUAAUGGAUCAUCUGGAAGCUCCAGUUCCUCAGUGCCAGCAGUCAUUUCAAAUGUCUUGGUACUAAAAUAUCUCAGCGUUUUAAAAGGCUACUAUUUUGCACAAAUCCCAGUAUUACCAGGAUUCAAUAGAAAGAAAGGACAGAUUAUGCAUACACUGUAACUCCUCUUUAUCAACACACACUGAGAUCUUGGACCAAAAACCCCAGGCUGGUAUGAACAGACUUCAACUGAGGCUACAGCUCCACAUCAAAGAACCCCGAAGUGUUUGUCACCUACAUAAACUGUCUUUAAAAAUAUA